Molecule: ribosomal RNA, 468 nt
Filed under: uncultured bacterium
Lineage: Bacteria
Description: partial 16S ribosomal RNA
Rfam family: Bacterial small subunit ribosomal RNA
Source: RNAcentral
GACGAACGCUGGCGGCGUGCUUAACACAUGCAAGUCGAACGGAAAGGCCCUGCUUUUGUGGGGUGCUCGAGUGGCGAACGGGUGAGUAACACGUGAGUAACCUGCCCUUGACUUUGGGAUAACUUCAGGAAACUGGGGCUAAUACCGGAUAGGAGCUCCUGCUGCAUGGUGGGGGGUGGAAAGUUUCGGCGGUUGGGGAUGGACUCGCGGCUUAUCAGCUUGUUGGUGGGGUAGUGGCUUACCAAGGCUUUGACGGGUAGCCGGCCUGAGAGGGUGACCGGCCACAUUGGGACUGAGAUACGGCCCAGACUCCUACGGGAGGCAGCAGUGGGGAAUAUUGCACAAUGGGCGGAAGCCUGAUGCAGCAACGCCGCGUGCUGGAUGACGGCCUUCGGGUUGUAAACCGCUUUCGCCUGUGACGAAGCGUGAGUGACGGUAAUGGGUAAAGAAGCACCGGCUAACUACGUG